AACGAACGCUGGCGGCAGGCCUAACACAUGCAAGUCGAACGCCCUAGCAAUAGGGAGUGGCGCACGGGUGAGUAACGCGUGGGAACGUGCCUUUCAGUCUGGAAUAACUGCGGGAAACUGCAGCUAAUACCGGAUAUUCUCUACGGAGGAAAGAUUUAUCGCUGAAAGAUCGGCCCGCGUUAGAUUAGGUAGUUGGUGGGGUAAUGGCCUACCAAGCCUACGAUCUAUAGCUGGUCUGUGAGGAUGAUCAGCCACACUGGAACUGAGACACGGUCCAGACUCCUACAGGAGGCAGCAGUGGGGAAUAUUGGACAAUGGGCGCAAGCCUGAUCCAGCCAUGCCGCGUGAGUGACGAAGGCCUUAGGGCUGUAAAGCUCUUUUGUCAGGGAAGAUAAUGACGGUACCUGAAGAAUAAGACACGGCUAACUUCGUGCCAGCCGCCGCGGUAA
RNAcentral lists this ribosomal RNA (449 nucleotides) under uncultured bacterium. RNAcentral describes it as "partial 16S ribosomal RNA". It matches the Rfam family "Bacterial small subunit ribosomal RNA", at positions 29 to 523 of the family's 1533-position model. The record is from RNAcentral.